This 831-nucleotide ribosomal RNA is filed under the name uncultured Alphaproteobacteria bacterium. RNAcentral describes it as "bacterial SSU rRNA". It matches the Rfam family "Bacterial small subunit ribosomal RNA", at positions 28 to 896 of the family's 1533-position model. Lineage: Bacteria; Pseudomonadati; Pseudomonadota; Alphaproteobacteria. The record is from RNAcentral.
AACGAACGCUGGCGGCAGGCCUAACACAUGCAAGUCGAACGAGAAGCCACCUUCGGGUGGUGGACAGUGGCAGACGGGUGAGUAACGCGUGGGAACGUGCCUUUCGGUUCGGGAUAACCCAGGGAAACUUGGGCUAAUACCGGAUACGCCCUCCGGGGGAAAGAUUCAUCGCCGAAAGAUCGGCCCGCGUCGGAUUAGCUAGUUGGUGAGGUAAUGGCUCACCAAGGCGACGAUCCGUAGCUGGUCUGAGAGGAUGACCAGCCACACUGGGACUGAGACACGGCCCAGACUCCUACGGGAGGCAGCAGUGGGGAAUAUUGGACAAUGGGCGGAAGCCUGAUCCAGCCAUGCCGCGUGGGUGAAGAAGGCCUUAGGGUUGUAAACCCCUUUCAGCGGGGAAGAUAAUGACGGUACCCGCAGAAGAAGUCCCGGCUAACUCCGUGCCAGCAGCCGCGGUAAUACGGAGGGGACUAGCGUUGUUCGGAAUUACUGGGCGUAAAGCGCACGUAGGCGGAUUUGUAAGUCAGGGGUGAAAGCCCGGGGCUCAACCCCGGAACUGCCUUUGAUACUGCAGAUCUCGAGUCCGGAAGAGGUGAGUGGAAUUCCUAGUGUAGAGGUGAAAUUCGUAGAUAUUAGGAAGAACACCAGUGGCGAAGGCGGCUCACUGGUCCGGUACUGACGCUGAGGUGCGAAAGCGAGGGGAGCAAACAGGAUUAGAUACCCUGGUAGUCCACGCCGUAAACUAUGGGUGCUAGCCGUCGGGGAGCAUGCUCUUCGGUNGCGCAGCAAACGCAUUAAGCACCCCGCCUGGGGAGUACGGUCGCAAGAUUA